GUCAGGUGUGGAAGUGCAGCAAUGCAUGGAGCUAACUGAUACUAAUGAGCCGUGCGGCUUGACCAUAUAACCCCAAG
Molecule: ribosomal RNA, 77 nt
Filed under: Rhodanobacter sp. Root480
Lineage: Bacteria; Pseudomonadati; Pseudomonadota; Gammaproteobacteria; Lysobacterales; Rhodanobacteraceae
Description: partial 23S ribosomal RNA
Source: RNAcentral